GUCGAGCAAGGAUGAAAAUCGGACUUAGUGAUCCGGUGGUUCUGCGUGGAAGGGCCAUCGCUCAACGGAUAAAAGCUACCCUGGGGAUAACAGGCUUAUCUCCCCCAAGAGUCCACAUCGACGGGGAGGUUUGGCACCUCGAUGUCGGCUCAUCACAUCCUGGGGCUGUAGUAGGUCCCAAGGGUUGGGCUGUUCGCCCAUUAAAGUGGUACGCGAGCUGGGUUCAGAACGUCGUGAGACAGUUCGGUCCCUAUCCGUCGCAGGCGUAGGAAAUUUGAGAAGACCUGGCCUUAGUACGAGAGGACCGGGAUGGACGUACCUCUGGUGUACCAGUUGUCCUGCCAAGGGCAUGGCUGGGUAGCUAUGUACGGAAUGGAUAAGCGCUGAAAGCAUCUAAGCGCGAAGCCAACUUCAAGAUAAGAUUUCCCACCGCAAGGGUAAGACCCCAGAAAGACUAUCUGGUUGAUAGGUCGAAGGUGUAAGUGCAGCAAUGUA
This 495-nucleotide ribosomal RNA is filed under the name Clostridioides difficile. Its description in RNAcentral is "partial 23S ribosomal RNA". It matches the Rfam family "Bacterial large subunit ribosomal RNA", at positions 2388 to 2885 of the family's 2925-position model. The record is from RNAcentral. Lineage: Bacteria; Bacillati; Bacillota; Clostridia; Peptostreptococcales; Peptostreptococcaceae.